UUUAAAGAGUGAAUUAGAUUAGCCAUCCCAAAACCAUCAUCUUUGUUUCUUCUCUUCAUCCUUAAUAAUCCCAUGGCGAUCCUAGCUCUUCUCACGCUCUCUCCCUAAAACCCUAAUUUUGGGUUCUACAUUCUCACGUUCCUUCCUUACUGCCACCGGAACCGCCGUAUCAGCCUCUUCUCGCUCAUCUUUCUCCCUUCUGCGCCGCCUCCUUCCCCUCGCUGCUAUAGUCGCCGCUGAUUUCGGGUUUCUCUCUUCUGCCAUGAGCGUGAGGGACUUUUCUACGUCUGACCCGAAACCUAAGUACUCUAACGACCCACCCACAUUUUCGGAUUAUGGCUGUGAUUUCGAACACUGGCUCGUUGUCAUGGAUUUGCCAAGGGCUAAACUCACGAGGGAUGAGAUGAUCAACAUCUAUAUCAAAACCCUUGCCAUGGUUGUUGGAAGAGCUGCCUAAGGUCCAAGUGGUCUUUUCUGAUAGAUACAUUGAUAUUGAAAACAAAAACUAUAGAGGGGAGCCCUUUAUAAACGGACAAGCUGUUCCAUAUGACCUCAAGUACCAUCAGCAGUACUAUAAACGAAUUAAUAGACUCGAUCGGCCAUGCGAAGCAUGUAAGCUCCUAUUUGGAGGAAUUGAACUUUCACAUAUUAGACUUUGGAGCGAUUCGGAGGAGUUAGACUAAAGAGAUGUUAGACUUUAAAUAUUGCAUAUUCUUAUUCCGAGUAGUUUCUUCUAAUUUUAUUUUAUUUUAUUUUUAAUUUUACUAUAGCUCUUUUAAUUAUGAAAUUUCUAUUUUAUCAUUUAAAUUAUUUAAUUUUUCU
Long non-coding RNA from Cucumis melo (muskmelon), 822 nucleotides. RefSeq lists it as uncharacterized. NCBI's taxonomy places the organism in Eukaryota, Viridiplantae, Streptophyta, Magnoliopsida, Cucurbitales, Cucurbitaceae. The record is from RefSeq and is a predicted model, not a curated record. The transcript is spliced from 3 exons.